This 542-nucleotide ribosomal RNA is filed under the name bacterium fme09x26p299. RNAcentral's name for it is "bacterial SSU rRNA". It matches the Rfam family "Bacterial small subunit ribosomal RNA", at positions 48 to 602 of the family's 1533-position model. The record is from RNAcentral.
GCUACACAUGCAGUCGAACGAUGAAGCCGGAGCUUGCUCUGGUGGAUUAGUGGCGAACGGGUGAGUAACACGUGAGUAACCUGCCCUUGACUCUGGAAUAAGCGUUGGAAACGACGUCUAAUACCGGAUACGAGCUUCCGCCGCAUGGUGAGGAGCUGGAAAGAAUUUCGGUCAAGGAUGGACUCGCGGCCUAUCAGGUAGUUGGUGAGGUAAUGGCUCACCAAGCCUACGACGGGUAGCCGGCCUGAGAGGGUGACCGGCCACACUGGAACUGAGACACGGUCCAGACUCCUACGGGAGGCAGCAGUGGGGAAUAUUGCACAAUGGGCGCAAGCCUGAUGCAGCAACGCCGCGUGAGGGACGACGGCCUUCGGGUUGUAAACCUCUUUUAGUAGGGAAGAAGCGAAAGUGACGGUACCUGCAGAAAAAGCACCGGCUAACUACGUGCCAGCAGCCGCGGUAAUACGUAGGGUGCAAGCGUUAUCCGGAAUUAUUGGGCGUAAAGAGCUCGUAGGCGGUUUGUCGCGUCUGCUGUGAAACUG